This 497-nucleotide ribosomal RNA is filed under the name uncultured bacterium. RNAcentral describes it as "partial 16S ribosomal RNA". It matches the Rfam family "Bacterial small subunit ribosomal RNA", at positions 28 to 507 of the family's 1533-position model. The record is from RNAcentral.
GAUGAACGCUGGCGGCGUGCCUAAUACAUGCAAGUCGAGCGAACGGACGAGAAGCUUGCUUCUCUGAUGUUAGCGGCGGACGGGUGAGUAACACGUGGAUAACCUACCUAUAAGACUGGGAUAACUUCGGGAAACCGGAGCUAAUACCGGAUAAUAUUUUGAACCGCAUGGUUCAAAAGUGAAAGACGGUCUUGCUGUCACUUAUAGAUGGAUCCGCGCUGGAUUAGCUAGUUGGUAAGGUAACGGCUUACCAAGGCAACGAUGCAUAGCCGACCUGAGAGGGUGAUCAGCCACACUGGAACUGAGACACGGUCCAGACUCCUACGGGAGGCAGCAGUAGGGAAUCUUCCGCAAUGGGCGAAAGCCUGACGGAGCAACGCCGCGUGAGUGAUGAAGGUCUUCGGAUCGUAAAACUCUGUUAUUAGGGAAGAACAUAUGUGUAAGUAACUGUGCACAUCUUGACGGUACCUAAUCAGAAAGCCACGGCUAACUACGUG